GUGCAUGCUUCAUAGCACGUAUACUAUAAUGGGAACAUUACUGAGGCAUUAGCAUGGCCCCAGCACCAGGAGGACAUGAAAAGUUGUAGAGUGUUUGCUAGUUUUU
This is a small nuclear RNA of Tupaia belangeri (northern tree shrew), 106 nucleotides long. The record is from Ensembl. NCBI's taxonomy places the organism in Eukaryota, Metazoa, Chordata, Mammalia, Scandentia, Tupaiidae.